This 491-nucleotide ribosomal RNA is filed under the name uncultured bacterium. RNAcentral's name for it is "partial 16S ribosomal RNA". It matches the Rfam family "Bacterial small subunit ribosomal RNA", at positions 29 to 506 of the family's 1533-position model. The record is from RNAcentral.
AGUGAACGCUGGCGGUAGGCCUAACACAUGCAAGUCGAACGGCAGCACAGUAAGAGCUUGCUCUUACGGGUGGCGAGUGGCGGACGGGUGAGGAAUACAUCGGAAUCUACUUUUUCGUGGGGGAUAACGUAGGGAAACUUACGCUAAUACCGCAUACGACCUACGGGUGAAAGCAGGGGAUCUUCGGACCUUGCGCGAUUGAAUGAGCCGAUGUCGGAUUAGCUAGUUGGCGGGGUAAAGGCCCACCAAGGCGACGAUCCGUAGCUGGUCUGAGAGGAUGAUCAGCCACACGGGAACUGAGACACGGUCCAGACUCCUACGGGAGGCAGCAGUGGGGAAUAUUGGACAAUGGGCGCAAGCCUGAUCCAGCCAUACCGCGUGGGUGAAGAAGGCCUUCGGGUUGUAAAGCCCUUUUGUUGGGAAAGAAAAGCAGCAGGUUAAUACCCCGCUGUUCUGACGGGACCCAAAGAAUAAGCACCGGCGAACUUCGG